UUAAGCGACUAAGCGUACACGGUGGAUGCCCUGGCAGUCAGAGGCGAUGAAGGACGUGCUAAUCUGCGAUAAGCGUCGGUAAGGUGAUAUGAACCGUUAUAACCGGCGAUUUCCGAAUGGGGAAACCCAGUGUGUUUCGACACACUAUCAUUAACUGAAUCCAUAGGUUAAUGAGGCGAACCGGGGGAACUGAAACAUCUAAGUACCCCGAGGAAAAGAAAUCAACCGAGAUUCCCCCAGUAGCGGCGAGCGAACGGGGAGCAGCCCAGAGCCUGAAUCAGUGUGUGUGUUAGUGGAAGCGUCUGGAAAGGCGCGCGAUACAGGGUGACAGCCCCGUACACAAAAAUGCACAUGCUGUGAGCUCGAUGAGUAGGGCGGGACACGUGGUAUCCUGUCUGAAUAUGGGGGGACCAUCCUCCAAGGCUAAAUACUCCUGACUGACCGAUAGUGAACCAGUACCGUGAGGGAAAGGCGAAAAGAACCCCGGCGAGGGGAGUGAAAAAGAACCUGAAACCGUGUACGUACAAGCAGUGGGAGCACGCUUAGGCGUGUGACUGCGUACCUUUUGUAUAAUGGGUCAGCGACUUAUAUUCUGUAGCAAGGUUAACCGAAUAGGGGAGCCGAAGGGAAACCGAGUCUUAACUGGGCGUUAAGUUGCAGGGUAUAGACCCGAAACCCGGUGAUCUAGCCAUGGGCAGGUUGAAGGUUGGGUAACACUAACUGGAGGACCGAACCGACUAAUGUUGAAAAAUUAGCGGAUGACUUGUGGCUGGGGGUGAAAGGCCAAUCAAACCGGGAGAUAGCUGGUUCUCCCCGAAAGCUAUUUAGGUAGCGCCUCGUGAAUUCAUCUCCGGGGGUAGAGCACUGUUUCGGCAAGGGGGUCAUCCCGACUUACCAACCCGAUGCAAACUGCGAAUACCGGAGAAUGUUAUCACGGGAGACACACGGCGGGUGCUAACGUCCGUCGUGAAGAGGGAAACAACCCAGACCGCCAGCUAAGGUCCCAAAGUCAUGGUUAAGUGGGAAACGAUGUGGGAAGGCCCAGACAGCCAGGAUGUUGGCUUAGAAGCAGCCAUCAUUUAAAGAAAGCGUAAUAGCUCACUGGUCGAGUCGGCCUGCGCGGAAGAUGUAACGGGGCUAAACCAUGCACCGAAGCUGCGGCAGCGACGCUUAUGCGUUGUUGGGUAGGGGAGCGUUCUGUAAGCCUGCGAAGGUGUGCUGUGAGGCAUGCUGGAGGUAUCAGAAGUGCGAAUGCUGACAUAAGUAACGAUAAAGCGGGUGAAAAGCCCGCUCGCCGGAAGACCAAGGGUUCCUGUCCAACGUUAAUCGGGGCAGGGUGAGUCGACCCCUAAGGCGAGGCCGAAAGGCGUAGUCGAUGGGAAACAGGUUAAUAUUCCUGUACUUGGUGUUACUGCGAAGGGGGGACGGAGAAGGCUAUGUUGGCCGGGCGACGGUUGUCCCGGUUUAAGCGUGUAGGCUGGUUUUCCAGGCAAAUCCGGAAAAUCAAGGCUGAGGCGUGAUGACGAGGCACUACGGUGCUGAAGCAACAAAUGCCCUGCUUCCAGGAAAAGCCUCUAAGCAUCAGGUAACAUCAAAUCGUACCCCAAACCGACACAGGUGGUCAGGUAGAGAAUACCAAGGCGCUUGAGAGAACUCGGGUGAAGGAACUAGGCAAAAUGGUGCCGUAACUUCGGGAGAAGGCACGCUGAUAUGUAGGUGAAGCGACUUGCUCGUGGAGCUGAAAUCAGUCGAAGAUACCAGCUGGCUGCAACUGUUUAUUAAAAACACAGCACUGUGCAAACACGAAAGUGGACGUAUACGGUGUGACGCCUGCCCGGUGCCGGAAGGUUAAUUGAUGGGGUUAGCCGCAAGGCGAAGCUCUUGAUCGAAGCCCCGGUAAACGGCGGCCGUAACUAUAACGGUCCUAAGGUAGCGAAAUUCCUUGUCGGGUAAGUUCCGACCUGCACGAAUGGCGUAAUGAUGGCCAGGCUGUCUCCACCCGAGACUCAGUGAAAUUGAACUCGCUGUGAAGAUGCAGUGUACCCGCGGCAAGACGGAAAGACCCCGUGAACCUUUACUAUAGCUUGACACUGAACAUUGAGCCUUGAUGUGUAGGAUAGGUGGGAGGCUUUGAAGUGUGGACGCCAGUCUGCAUGGAGCCGACCUUGAAAUACCACCCUUUAAUGUUUGAUGUUCUAACGUUGACCCGUAAUCCGGGUUGCGGACAGUGUCUGGUGGGUAGUUUGACUGGGGCGGUCUCCUCCUAAAGAGUAACGGAGGAGCACGAAGGUUGGCUAAUCCUGGUCGGACAUCAGGAGGUUAGUGCAAUGGCAUAAGCCAGCUUGACUGCGAGCGUGACGGCGCGAGCAGGUGCGAAAGCAGGUCAUAGUGAUCCGGUGGUUCUGAAUGGAAGGGCCAUCGCUCAACGGAUAAAAGGUACUCCGGGGAUAACAGGCUGAUACCGCCCAAGAGUUCAUAUCGACGGCGGUGUUUGGCACCUCGAUGUCGGCUCAUCACAUCCUGGGGCUGAAGUAGGUCCCAAGGGUAUGGCUGUUCGCCAUUUAAAGUGGUACGCGAGCUGGGUUUAGAACGUCGUGAGACAGUUCGGUCCCUAUCUGCCGUGGGCGCUGGAGAACUGAGGGGGGCUGCUCCUAGUACGAGAGGACCGGAGUGGACGCAUCACUGGUGUUCGGGUUGUCAUGCCAAUGGCACUGCCCGGUAGCUAAAUGCGGAAGAGAUAAGUGCUGAAAGCAUCUAAGCACGAAACUUGCCCCGAGAUGAGUUCUCCCUGACUCCUUGAGAGUCCUGAAGGAACGUUGAAGACGACGACGUUGAUAGGCCGGGUGUGUAAGCGCAGCGAUGCGUUGAGCUAACCGGUACUAAUGAACCGUGAGGCUUAACCUU
This 2904-nucleotide ribosomal RNA is filed under the name Escherichia coli. RNAcentral describes it as "bacterial LSU rRNA". It matches the Rfam family "Bacterial large subunit ribosomal RNA". The record is from RNAcentral. Lineage: Bacteria; Pseudomonadati; Pseudomonadota; Gammaproteobacteria; Enterobacterales; Enterobacteriaceae. RNAcentral also lists the same sequence under 1 other name.